Cyanistes caeruleus (blue tit) is the source of this 2527-nucleotide long non-coding RNA. RefSeq lists it as uncharacterized. The record is from RefSeq and is a predicted model, not a curated record. Lineage: Eukaryota; Metazoa; Chordata; Aves; Passeriformes; Paridae.
AGUUGUUAAAUAGAAGAUGUUUUUUUCCUGUUGUUCUGUCAUUUCAAUGCCUCUUGCCAACAAAGGAGUCCCCUAUGUAAAUAUUAGCAAUGAUAAAGGAUGGACACAUUUUUGAGGGAAAAGAUCCAACAGGCACAUGACAAAGGAUUUCCCGACAGAACAGAUCUUCUCACGACUCAGAGCUAAUUUGAAUGAUUGAGCUGUUGAACCAGAUUCAUCAAAAGCAGGAAGGGCAUUUUGUUCAAUAGAAUAAAUGCUAUUGCUAAGUUUUGAAGAUUAAGUUCAACCAAAAUAUUUACAUCUUGAUCCAUGUCUGCUUUUUAACUGGCCAGAGCCCCAAGUAUUGGUGUCUGGAAACUAUCCAGAUCAUUUCUGGUUUGUUGCUCUCUGGAAAAAGGCAGACAUUGAUUUCCCUUCCUUUUCAAGUAUGUUUUAGUGAAGUGUGGUAGCUAUACUAUAUGUAUGCUGUCUUUCACCACAAAUGUAUUUGGUGUUUGUUCACAGUCAAAAUGCAGACAUGUCUGAACAAAGAUUCUUAGAAGAAAAAGUGUAGAACCCACUUUAUAUGUGCAGCCUAAGAAGAAUAGUUUAAGGAACUGUUCCACCAUGGCCACCAAGACUUGGAGAGGCAAGUUGGUCUGCUGAGGAAAAUGUAGGAAAAUUAUGCUGUAUCCAGCCAGAAAAAUACCAGCUCUUGAGUUUGCCUUCACAGCACAGAACAGCACCCCCUUAAAGCUAGCCCAGCAGCCUCACACACCCAAACCCCCAUGCCAAGCACUAUGCCUGGCCCCUGAAGGCAGUACAGCCACACCAAACACCAGCUCACUGCUCUCCUCUCAUGCAGGCUUUGCUCCUUUGCUCCAUUGUUUGAUGCAGACAUACACAGCGUUCCCAAGACUUCAGCAAUGAAGCUGUGGAAGCUACAAGACUUCCAAAGGUGCAGGAAGAUACACAGGUUGCUGUGUUCCAUGGAGUGCCUUGAAACAAAGCAGCAUGUCACCCUGGAGUCUGACCUGUGCUAAGCUCAAAGCAUUCUUCCUCCUAUGGCUGUAAAUUUGGCAGCACUCUCUGAACUCAUCCACCUUCUUAGAUACAAAUAAACCUUUAUUUCAGGCCAAGGGUGUUCAGCUCUUUACCUAUUCUUCCCAAGAAGAAAACAGCUGUUUUGGCAAGGACUUCUCAUCCUUCAUCUGGAGGCUAUGGAUCCAAGGACGUCUUCAAUGAAAAGCUGUUGCCUCAAAAUGCACCACACAAUUCUUCUUGUCCCAGAACAUACAUUAACCCCAGGCUGGUAAUUAAUUUCUAAUCAAAUCUGAUAAAUAGAAGAAGGUGAUUGACUUAGCUCUGCAUGAAGAGCAAGCUGUGCCCUGUCACCUUAUCUGGGGUUUGCAGCAACUAUUAGUCAGGAGACUGGAAUCAUGAUGAGAAACAUAGAUUCCCACACUUAACAGCACCUGGGAAGAUGGCAAAGUUUAUUCUCAGUCUGAAUCUGGACUUUCACCUGUGUAUCACAGCUUCAAGGCACUUCUUUAGGAAAUAAGUAUUUCACUCUGGUCUCUAACCAUUAAACUCACAUAAAAGACUAGUGGCAGCAUGACAAGCACCAGCUGUGUUAGCAUGAUUCCAAUGGAAGUGACAUUAUUGACCUGGGAGAGGAGCCCAUGCACGUGGUACCUUUCCCUGCCAGACCUGCUCUGAAGAUGCAGAGAGGAUUUACCACCUCUUCUCAUUCCAGUCAUGAUUAAACAGGAACAUAGGCUGAGAUAAAUUAGCUGAUGCAGUUGAAGGUAUAUGAAAAAGCAGAACUUUUCAGGAUGAAAGAGUAAGAGUUCUAGAGGACUCACACAUCUAAUGGGAUUCUGCAGCCACCAAGGAAAAUAAUUUCUGCACUGGAUUUCGAAGUUACAUCAAAUGAAUGCAGGCACCAGCCUCCCAUGCAAGGCAUUUUGGCCUCUCUGGGGACGAUGUAGGACAUUUCCAAGCUGUGAGCACAGGACUCCUGCAUGAAGGGCUGCAUUCAUGCUCUGCUGUUGCAAGAACCCUGCAUAAGAUGCAGUGCUGUGCUGCACACGCUGGUGCAUUGGGACAGCUCAUGCAGGCACAGCCCAGUGCAAUCUGCAUCAGCUCUGCUUUCUGUGCUGUCUGUAGGCUGUUCCUCAUGCUCCUACCCCAAACCAUAAUCCAAUAAAAGAAUUAUAAAAAUGCAACAGAAAUAAAAAUUCUUCUUGAUAUUUCCUACUGACUAACAUAAGUACAUGCCCUGGUUCCUGCCAAGCACGUAGGCUGCUGAAGAUCCCAUUCUGGGCUCCUUUGCUCAUCCUCUGCACAGGAGAGGGAUCCAAAGCACCAAGUGGAGGGGUCUAAGUCUCUUUCAGGAGCCCAGGUACCUAGGAGGUGUUGCAAUGUCACAUGCUGGAACACUAUUCCAUUUUAAUAUUUACAAGGAAAGAGGGAAGCCUUCAUUGAAGACCUAAGCAACUGGCAAUGGAUAAAGAAACUUGGCCCUUUUAUCCAGAAUAAAAAAAAG